GCCAGGCGCAGUGGCGGGCACCUGUAAUCCCAGCUACUCCGGAGGCUGAGGCAGGAGAAUCGCUUGAAUCCGGGAGGUGGAGGUUGCAGUGAGCCAAGAUUGGGCCACUGCACUCAAGCCUGGGUGACAGAGCAAGACCCUGCCUCAA
This 148-nucleotide non-coding RNA is filed under the name Nomascus leucogenys (northern white-cheeked gibbon). The record is from Rfam by way of RNAcentral. Lineage: Eukaryota; Metazoa; Chordata; Mammalia; Primates; Hylobatidae.